Small nuclear RNA from Otolemur garnettii (small-eared galago), 107 nucleotides. The record is from Ensembl. NCBI's taxonomy places the organism in Eukaryota, Metazoa, Chordata, Mammalia, Primates, Galagidae.
AUGCUUGCUUUGGCAGCACAUAUACUAAGAUUGAAACACUACAGAGAAGAUGAGCGUGGCCCCGACACAAGGAUGACAUGCAAAUUUGUGAAGUGUUCUAUUAUUUU